CUACGGGAUGCAGCAGUGGGGAAUAUUGCACAAUGGGCGCAAGCCUGAUGCAGCCAUGCCGCGUGUAUGAAGAAGGCCUUCGGGUUGUAAAGUACUUUCAGUCGUGAGGAAGGUGGUGCAGUGAAUAGCUGCAUUAUUUGACGUUAGCGACAGAAGAAGCACCGGCUAACUCCGUGCCAGCAGCCGCGGUAAUACGGAGGGUGCGAGCGUUAAUCGGAAUUACUGGGCGUAAAGCGCAUGCAGGUGGUUUGUUAAGUCAGAUGUGAAAGCCCGAGGCUCAACCUCGGAAGGUCAUUUGAAACUGGCAGGCUAGAGUACUGUAGAGGGGGGUAGAAUUUCAGGUGUAGAGGUGAAAUGCGUAGAGAUCUGAAGGAAUACCGGUGGCGAAGGCGGCCCCCUGGACAGAUACUGACACUCAGAUGCGAAAGCGUGGGGAGCAAACAGGAUUAGAUACCCCCGUAGUC
This 464-nucleotide ribosomal RNA is filed under the name uncultured bacterium. Its description in RNAcentral is "partial 16S ribosomal RNA". It matches the Rfam family "Bacterial small subunit ribosomal RNA", at positions 339 to 795 of the family's 1533-position model. The record is from RNAcentral.